AUUGAACGCUGGCGGCAUGCCUUACACAUGCAAGUCGAACGGCAGCACGGGUGCUUGCACCAGGUGGCGAGUGGCGAACGGGUGAGUAAUACAUCGGAACAUGUCCUGUAGUGGGGGAUAGCCCGGCGAAAGCCGGAUUAAUACCGCAUACGAUCUACGGAUGAAAGCGGGGGACCUUCGGGCCUCGCGCUAUAGGGUUGGCCGAUGGCUGAUUAGCUAGUUGGUGGGGUAAAGGCCUACCAAGGCGACGAUCAGUAGCUGGUCUGAGAGGACGACCAGCCACACUGGGACUGAGACACGGCCCAGACUCCUACGGGAGGCAGCAGUGGGGAAUUUUGGACAAUGGGCGAAAGCCUGAUCCAGCAAUGCCGCGUGUGUGAAGAAGGCCUUCGGGUUGUAAAGCACUUUUGUCCGGAAAGAAAUCCUUGGCCCUAAUACGGUCGGGGGAUGACGGUACCGGAAGAAUAAGCACCGGCUAACUACGUG
Molecule: ribosomal RNA, 486 nt
Filed under: uncultured bacterium
Lineage: Bacteria
Description: partial 16S ribosomal RNA
Rfam family: Bacterial small subunit ribosomal RNA
Source: RNAcentral